This 71-nucleotide transfer RNA is filed under the name Candidatus Pacearchaeota archaeon. Its description in RNAcentral is "tRNA-Asp". It matches the Rfam family "tRNA". From Rfam's summary of the family: Transfer RNA (tRNA) molecules are approximately 80 nucleotides in length. Their secondary structure includes four short double-helical elements and three loops (D, anti-codon, and T loops). The record is from RNAcentral. Lineage: Archaea; Nanobdellati.
GGGCGUAGUUCAGCCUGGACUAGAACGCCGGCUUGUCACGCCGGAGGUCGCGGGUUCGAAUCCCGUCGCCC